RNAcentral lists this ribosomal RNA (439 nucleotides) under uncultured bacterium. RNAcentral describes it as "partial 16S ribosomal RNA". It matches the Rfam family "Bacterial small subunit ribosomal RNA", at positions 339 to 795 of the family's 1533-position model. The record is from RNAcentral.
CUACGGGGCGCAGCAGUGGGGAAUAUUGCACAAUGGAGGAAACUCUGAUGCAGCAACGCCGCGUGGAGGAUGACACUUUUCGGAGCGUAAACUCCUUUUAUAUAGGAAGAAGAUGACGGUACUAUAUGAAUAAGCGCCGGCUAACUCCGUGCCAGCAGCCGCGGUAAUACGGAGGGCGCAAGCGUUACUCGGAAUCACUGGGCGUAAAGAGCGUGUAGGCGGAUUAAAAAGUCAGAAGUGAAAUCCUAUAGCUUAACUAUAGAACUGCUUCUGAAACUCUUAAUCUAGAAUAUGGGAGAGGUAGAUGGAAUUUCUGGUGUAGGGGUAAAAUCUGUAGAGAUCAGAAGGAAUACCGAUUGCGAAGGCGAUCUACUAGAACACUAUUGACGCUGAGACGCGAAAGCGUGGGGAGCAAACAGGAUUAGAUACCCUCGUAGUC